UGUUUCGGCUAGGGGGCCAUCCCGGCUUACCAACCCGAUGCAAACUGCGAAUACCGGAGAAUGUUAUCACGGGAGACACACGGCGGGUGCUAACGUCCGUCGUGAAGAGGGAAACAACCCAGACCGCCAGCUAAGGUCCCAAAGUCAUGGUUAAGUGGGAAACGAUGUGGGAAGGCCCAGACAGCCAGGAUGUUGGCUUAGAAGCAGCCAUCAUUUAAAGAAAGCGUAAUAGCUCACUGGUCGAGUCGGCCUGCGCGGAAGAUGUAACGGGGCUAAACCAUGCACCGAAGCUGCGGCAGCGAACGUAUCACUUAAAGCGAUUCAGCGGAUUACGAUUGACGGAGCGAAGCGACGUCAAAGCGUAUACAAAGUCGAGUCGGUUUAAGGAUACGUUCGUUGGGUAGGGGAGCGUUCUGUAAGCCUGUGAAGGUGGCCUGUGAGGGUUGCUGGAGGUAUCAGAAGUGCGAAUGCUGACAUAAGUAACGAUAAAGCGGGUGAAAAGCCCGCUCGCCGGAAGACCAAGGGUUCCUGUCCAACGUUAAUCGGGGCAGGGUGAGUCGACCCCUAAGGCGAGGCCGA
This 579-nucleotide ribosomal RNA is filed under the name Salmonella enterica subsp. enterica serovar Kentucky. Its description in RNAcentral is "partial 23S ribosomal RNA". It matches the Rfam family "Bacterial large subunit ribosomal RNA", at positions 911 to 1405 of the family's 2925-position model. The record is from RNAcentral. Lineage: Bacteria; Pseudomonadati; Pseudomonadota; Gammaproteobacteria; Enterobacterales; Enterobacteriaceae.